CAGGAAGAGGCCACACCAACUAAUGUAGCAAACGUGAAAUGCGGACACAAGCUGGUGAAGAGUGACUUACCCGAGCAGUGUAUCCACAUCUGUUUGAUGAGACGGGAGAUUGUAAACGUCACACUUUAGGUUGCAUUCACGUACAAGAAGGUUUCACCGAAGAUGAGCAGAUAACUCUCCGCCGACCGCGGAGCGCAGCCAAUGGAAGCGAGCUGCCGGCGCCGCUUCGACCAAUCAGAUCGCCAGCGCGGAGUUGGUGGAAGCUUUGGACGAACCAGGAAACACAUAAUUAUUGUAGUUCUAUACUUACUAACAACCUCCUUCG
This is a long non-coding RNA of Cottoperca gobio, 325 nucleotides long. RefSeq lists it as uncharacterized. Lineage: Eukaryota; Metazoa; Chordata; Actinopteri; Perciformes; Bovichtidae. The record is from RefSeq and is a predicted model, not a curated record. The transcript is spliced from 3 exons.